CCUACGGGAGGCUGCAGUGAGGAAUAUUGGUCAAUGGACGAGAGUCUGAACCAGCCAAGUAGCGUGAAGGAUGACUGCCCUAUGGGUUGUAAACUUCUUUUAUAUGGGAAUAAAACGUUCCACGUGUGGGAUUUUGUAUGUACCAUAUGCAUAAGGAUAGGCUAACUCCGUGCCAGCAGCCGCGGUAAUACGGAGGAUCCGAGCGUUAUCCGGAUUUAUUGGGUUUAAAGGGAGCGUAGGUGGAUUGUUAAGUCAGUUGUGAAAGUUUGCGGCUCAACCGUAAAAUUGCAGUUGAAACUGGCAGUCUUGAGUACAGUAGAGGUGGGCGGAAUUCGUGGUGUAGCGGUGAAAUGCUUAGAUAUCACGAAGAACUCCGAUUGCGAAGGCAGUUCACUGGACUGCAACUGACACUGAGGCUCGAAAGUGUGGGUAUCAAACAGGAUUAGAUACCCUGGUAGUC
This 460-nucleotide ribosomal RNA is filed under the name uncultured bacterium. RNAcentral describes it as "partial 16S ribosomal RNA". It matches the Rfam family "Bacterial small subunit ribosomal RNA", at positions 338 to 795 of the family's 1533-position model. The record is from RNAcentral.